Molecule: long non-coding RNA, 1417 nt
Filed under: Mytilus galloprovincialis (Mediterranean mussel)
Lineage: Eukaryota; Metazoa; Mollusca; Bivalvia; Mytilida; Mytilidae
Source: RNAcentral
UUAUAAAAUUUAUUUUUUAGUUUAUAUGGGGAACCACAGGUCAUAAAAACUUAUCUUCUCUUUUUCAAUUGCUGUUAGCAUGUGCAUUUUGUUACAGUUUUGUAUAUGUUAAGAGUAACUUUGUCAUGAAAUAAAAUUUCCUUUGUAAUAUUAGUUGUAAACUAAAGAAAUGUCCUGGAAUAUUAUUCCCCCUGGAAGAAAUAUUGCAAUAUUUGUUCCUGACGGAACAAAGGUUUUAGAUUUUUCAUUCCAACAGGAAUAGGUAUUAUGAUAUUGUAUAUAACUCAAUGUCCAGAGGAAACUGAUAGUAGACACAAACAUAAGUUUACUACUCCACACAAGUAAUGUAUAUGUCAUAACAAGCAGGAUUAUAUUCAGGUUGCUGGUAUAUAUAUUUUUCAUAUAGCUAAUACAAUUCUUCAAUUCUGUCUCCUUUGUUUUAAGAUUAAAACUUAUAUAAAUUAGAAUUUAUCUGUUGAAAUCAUUUUAAACAACAGUUUGAAUUGUUACAAGAAAUUUAUAUUUUCUUCAUAAUCUAUUAAAAUGUACUAGAGGACCAAAGAUGUGAUAAAGCUAUAAAUAAAAUCCAUAUUUUCAUUGUUCAAUUAGUUUAAUAGUAGCUAGGGUUCUUCUUUGUUUGUUAAAAUAUAUAUAUUUUUUUAAAUAUUGAAAUUUAAAUGUUUUUUGUUGACACAGUUGAGGAAAAUAUGCCAACAUUAUUCAAUUGUGACAUAUUUGUUUACAGGUUAAAGUAAAUAGGUUUGUACAUGCUAAAGUUGUGCAAAGGGGGCCUAUAUUAUUAGCUAUUAGGUUGCCCUUCAAAUAUAGACAAUACAAUUUUCCGUAGGAACACCCUUUGGGGCUAAAACUGUGCCACUUUUACUAUGAAGUUUCGUAAAAAAAUAUAUACUAGAACAGAAAGUUGAUUAGUUAACAAAACAAAAUAUCUAUGAAUAUCUCUCCGAAAGAGGUGUGGCUUGUGAAACAGCUGUAUUUACUAAGUGUGACCUAUAAGCAUAAUUUUGAUAAGUAUUAUUAAGAUGGGAAUCACAGGGUUUGUAUAGACCUUAUCACAUUUUGUUUACAUUACUGGACAAUAUAGACAUUCCCAUAAAAAGAGGUAAUGUCUGAUGUAUGAAAGAAAAAUGAAUUCCAUUGAUUGAUAUGAAAGAUUCCAAAGUAACGAUAAGGUCUAUUGUGCCAUAGUUAGUAAAAUGAGCUAAAAUUUGUGAAUUAAAACAAAUUUCUAGGAAUGACAUGGUUUGACAUUUUUUGUUUUAAGGUUAGUAAAAUAAUCUAACAUUUUCUUAUAAAAUAUUAGGUAUUAUUUUAUUGGGAUUAAAAUAGCUUUGUGUGUUGUUAUGUUGAGUAAUAUGCCAACAUGAUUCAUAUUUAAAGAUUUUUGUUAAAUUUUUUA